CUGCAGUUUUGUGACCACGGCGCCCUGAACGCGAGCCAAAUCCAGGGGUGCGGUGGUCCUCACUACCCCGUCAGCUGAGAGUGUAGAGAGGGUGUAAGAAGAAACAAACCUCUGUUCUGCCCCAGGUGACAUUGGACAGGUGAAGAGAGAUGAAGAACGUGAUUGAAGAAACAGCCAAGAGAAGGAGCAAGGGUCAGGGGUUCCUUAGCCUCUGCCCUCCACAGCUUAUCUACAGGUCAGAAUUUCACUGCCAGACUGGGGUCCCCCCCCCCCCCACACACACAUCUGACUGCUCCUUACCAGGGAUAAGUAAAGCAAAAAGAAACUCCAGGAGCCUGAGCAGUGCCAUGGUAGCCUGAAGAAAUGGUGGAGGAAGCUGUUUCUCAGGCUAACUCUGUUGCCUGGCUAGUUGCUUAAACAUAGCCAUCAGGUGGCUUCCUAGACUCCAGCUCUGGCUCCACCCACCCCGUGACAGAGCAGUUAGAUCCUCGGGACAGGCUCCUGGAGCUGCUGGAAAAUCCCAUCCUCCGCUGUUUCCAGUGAAUUCUUCCAUUCAUUACUGCGACCCUAAGGGGAUACAAGCUGCGGAUGGUAAAACUGGCCACAUUGUGCUUGCAGACAGAGCAAACCCAGUGCCCAGGAAAAUUAGCCCCAAGACCUGCUUCCCCGCAGAGUCUGCGUUCCAGCUGCCUCCUCUUACCAUUAGAACCGUAUCUGCCUAUAAAAAUCUAAGCUCGGCCACCAAGAAAAUCAAAAGUUAGCCGGGCGGUGGUGGCGCACGCCUUUAAUCCCAGCACUUGGGAGGCAGAGGCAGGUGAAUAUCUGAGUUCGAGGCCAGCCUGGUCUACAAAGUGAGUUCCAGGACAGCCAGGGCUACACAGAGAAUCCUGCCUCAAGAAACAAACAAAAAAUAAAAUAAAGUUAAAUUAAAAAAUCAAAAGUUGUGUCUACAUUCAACAAACAAAAGAAUCCUUGAUAGAAGGAAUAAAACUAAGGGUUCCUUGUGUGAAUAUCAACUGCAGGGUACCAAGGACUCUUCUGAGAGGAAAUGAAGAUGUGCUAUGUGUUGCUCUGGAACACAACUACACCAGCCUAAGAUUAAUCUGCAGACUAAGAUUUACUGAGCCAGUGUCUUUAAGAUUUGUCAGUUUAUUAUAUUUCCAUUUAAAACGCCUUUUUGAGACAAGGUUUCUUUAUGU
Molecule: long non-coding RNA, 1199 nt
Filed under: Mus caroli (Ryukyu mouse)
Lineage: Eukaryota; Metazoa; Chordata; Mammalia; Rodentia; Muridae
Description: lncRNA (MGP_CAROLIEiJ_G0004250.1)
Source: RNAcentral